RNAcentral lists this non-coding RNA (29 nucleotides) under Bombyx mori (domestic silkworm). Lineage: Eukaryota; Metazoa; Arthropoda; Insecta; Lepidoptera; Bombycidae. The record is from RNAcentral.
UAGCUUAUAAUUCUAGCGGUUUUUCGCAC